UUUGACCCGUUUAAUUAGGCC
Molecule: non-coding RNA, 21 nt
Filed under: Caenorhabditis elegans
Lineage: Eukaryota; Metazoa; Nematoda; Chromadorea; Rhabditida; Rhabditidae
Source: RNAcentral